RNAcentral lists this ribosomal RNA (374 nucleotides) under uncultured organism. RNAcentral's name for it is "partial 16S ribosomal RNA". It matches the Rfam family "Bacterial small subunit ribosomal RNA", at positions 527 to 896 of the family's 1533-position model. The record is from RNAcentral.
GUAGGUGGCAAGCGUUGUCCGGAAUUAUUGGGCGUAAAGCGCGCGCAGGCGGUUCUUUAAGUCUGAUGUGAAAGCCCACGGCUCAACCGUGGAGGGUCAUUGGUAACUGGAGAACUUGAGUACAGAAGAGGAAAGCGGAAUUCCACGUGUAGCGGUGAAGUGCGUAGAGAUGUGGAGGAACACCAGUGGCGAAGGCGGCUUUCUGGUCUGUAACUGACGCUGUGGCGCGAAAGCGUGGGGAGCAAACAGGGAUUAGAUACCCUGGUAGUCCACGCCGUAAACGAUGAGUGCUAAGUGUUAGGGGGGUUUCCGCCCCCUUAGUGCUGCAGCUAACGCAUUAAGCACUCCGCCUGGGGAGUACGGCCGCAAGGCUG